CAGUCGCCGCGGGAAUACGGAGGGUGCAAGCGUUAAUCGGAAUUACUGGGCGUAAAGCGCACGCAGGCGGUCUGUCAAGUCGGAUGUGAAAUCCCCGGGCUCAACCUGGGAACUGCAUUCGAAACUGGCAGGCUAGAGUCUUGUAGAGGGGGGUAGAAUUCCAGGUGUAGCGGUGAAAUGCGUAGAGAUCUGGAGGAAUACCGAUGGCGAAGGCAGCCAUCUGGCCUAAUACUGACGCUGAGGUACGAAAGCAUGGGGAGCAAACAGGAUUAGAUACCCCUGUAGUCCCUGUCUCUUAUAC
RNAcentral lists this ribosomal RNA (301 nucleotides) under uncultured bacterium. RNAcentral's name for it is "partial 16S ribosomal RNA". It matches the Rfam family "Bacterial small subunit ribosomal RNA", at positions 509 to 807 of the family's 1533-position model. The record is from RNAcentral.